RNAcentral lists this ribosomal RNA (112 nucleotides) under Caerostris extrusa. Lineage: Eukaryota; Metazoa; Arthropoda; Arachnida; Araneae; Araneidae. The record is from RNAcentral.
AACGGCCAUACCAUGCUGAAUAUACCGGUUCUCGUUAGAUCACCGAAGUCAAGCAUCAUUGGGCGCGGUCAGUACUUGGGCGGGUGACCACCUGGGAACACCGUGUGCCGUU